Molecule: ribosomal RNA, 233 nt
Filed under: uncultured bacterium
Lineage: Bacteria
Description: partial 16S ribosomal RNA
Rfam family: Bacterial small subunit ribosomal RNA
Source: RNAcentral
CGAAUCCCCAAAACGCAGUCUCAGUUCAGAUUGUAGGCUGAAACUCGCCUAUAUGAAGUCGGAAUUGCUAGUAAUCGCGGAUCAGCAUGCCGCGGUGAAUACGUUCCCGGGCCUUGUACACACCGCCCGUCACACCAUGAGAGUCGAUAACACCCGAAGCCUGUAGUCUAACCGUAAGGGGGACGCAGUCGAAGGUGGGAUUGAUAAUUAGGGUGAAGUCGUAACAAGGUAGC